GGGGAAUAUUGCACAAUGGAGGAAACUCUGAUGCAGCAACGCCGCGUGGAGGAUGACGCAUUUCGGUGUGUAAACUCCUUUUAUAAGGGAAGAUAAUGACGGUACCUUAUGAAUAAGCACCGGCUAACUCCGUGCCAGCAGCCGCGGUAAUACGGAGGGUGCAAGCGUUACUCGGAAUCACUGGGCGUAAAGGAUGCGUAGGCUGGAAAUCAAGUCGAGAGUGAAAUCCAACGGCUCAACCGUUGAACUGCUCUCGAAACUGGUUACCUAGAAUAUGGGAGAGGUAGAUGGAAUUGGUGGUGUAGGGGUAAAAUCCGUAGAUAUCACCAGGAAUACCGAUUGCGAAGGCAGCUCACAAAGCUAAUAUUGACGCUGAUGCACGAAAGUGUGGGGAUCAAAC
RNAcentral lists this ribosomal RNA (400 nucleotides) under uncultured bacterium. Its description in RNAcentral is "bacterial SSU rRNA". It matches the Rfam family "Bacterial small subunit ribosomal RNA", at positions 356 to 773 of the family's 1533-position model. The record is from RNAcentral.